Molecule: ribosomal RNA, 434 nt
Filed under: uncultured Lachnospiraceae bacterium
Lineage: Bacteria; Bacillati; Bacillota; Clostridia; Lachnospirales; Lachnospiraceae
Description: partial 16S ribosomal RNA
Rfam family: Bacterial small subunit ribosomal RNA
Source: RNAcentral
ACGGGAGGCAGCAGUGGGGAAUAUUGCACAAUGGGGGAAACCCUGAUGCAGCGACGCCGCGUGAGUGCAGAAGUUAUUCGUAAUGUAAAGCUCUAUCAGCAGGGAAGAAAAUGACGGUACCUGACUAAGAAGCCCCGGCUAACUCCGUGACAGCAGCCGCGGUAAUACGUAGGGGGCCAGCGUUAUCCGGAUUUACUGGGUGUAAAGGGAGCGUAGACGGCUUAGCAAAUCUGAUGUGAAAGGCAGGGGCUCAACUCCUGGACUGCAUUGGAAACUGUUAAGCUGGAGUGCCGGAGAGGUAAGCGGAAUUCCUAGUGUAGCGGUGAAAUGCGUAGAUAUUAGGAGGAACACCAGUGGCGAAGGCGGCUUACUGGACGGUAACUGACGUUGAGGCUCGAAAGCGUGGGGAGCAGACAGGAUUAGAUACCCUGGUA